This 442-nucleotide ribosomal RNA is filed under the name uncultured bacterium. RNAcentral's name for it is "partial 16S ribosomal RNA". It matches the Rfam family "Bacterial small subunit ribosomal RNA", at positions 338 to 795 of the family's 1533-position model. The record is from RNAcentral.
CCUACGGGAGGCUGCAGUGGGGAAUAUUGGGCAAUGGGCGCAAGCCUGACCCAGCAACGCCGCGUGAAGGAAGAAGGCUUUCGGGUUGUAAACUUCUUUUAAGGGGGAAGAGCAGAAGACGGUAUCCCUUGAAUAAUCCACGGCUAACUCCGUGCAAGCAGCCGCGGUAAUACGUAGGUGGUAAGUGUUGUCCGGAUUUACUGGGUGUAAAGGGCGUGAAGCCGGAGUGACAAGUCAGAUGUGAAAUCCACGGGCUCAACCCGUGAACUGCAUUUGACACUGGUUGCCUUGUGUGUCGGAGAGGUAAUCGGAAUUUCUUGUGUAGCGAUGAAAUGCGUAGAUAUAAGGAAGAACACCAGUUGCGAAGGCGGAUUACUGGACGAUAACUGACGGUGAGGCGCGAAAGCGUGGGGAGCAAACAGGAUUAGAUACCCGAGUAGUC